CAGACCACCACCAGACCCGGGUGCUUCCGGGUAGCCUGGCAGACUCCCGCUUUUCCUGGGACUGAACUGUUCCUCAGGUUCUGUGUGGAGUAAGGAGGCUGAGGCAGGAAGGUCACGAAGAGUUUGAUGGCAGCCAGGACCACUUGGAGGGACCCUGUCUCCAAACUCCCCCCAAAACAACAGAAAACCCCAAAACAAAAACACAUAAACACGAAAGUCCUCUGUCUUCAUCUUUGCUUGUAUGGUGCACUAUUAUUUUGUCUAACGUACAUGGUCUCUCUCACUAUUUCCGGUCUUUCUACAUGACCCUUCAAAUCCACCGUGGGCUGAGAAAGACACCCUGGAGCACAUCUGUUGGGAGUAUUACAGUUGCGCAAGGCACACAACCCACAUCACAUUGGAAUAAGGCGGAAGAUGUCCAUCUCACGGAAAUACUCAGCCUUCAGUCAUGUGCCUGGAGUUUAAAUGACUUGACGGAGACCCAGUUUCCUUCUCAUCCAUCCUCUUCCUCACCUGGGCUUCCUCCUCGGCCCCUGCUCCUGACAGCUCCGAGACAAACUGGUCAGCGCAAGUUCAGAGAAGACCAGUGCGAUCCGCCCAGUAGCUCUGGUGCUGGUUCCAGGAUGCAGCAGCUGCCACACACGCCUGUCCUGGACGCAGUUGCUGUGGCUGGGAAACUGUCCCCAGCCCGCUCUGGGCAGCUGCGGUCCUGUCUCUGGGACAAGGGGCAGCUCCAGUUGUCAGGUGGAGGCCUCCACAUCAUUCUUGGAAACAAGAGGCUCAAACGGAGGGAGAGGGGCGGAGGGAAAGCUCCAGGCAGAAGAGGAGCAGUGGAAAUGCCGCAGCCUGGUGACAAACGGGUUACAGAAACCAGGGCUAGGGACAGGCGUGGGGAAGCCCUCGGGACUGCUUUAUGGGGAAAGCCCGAGCAUUAUUAGCAUACACGUUCGCACGAUGGUUAUUUGGUGGGACAGCAGUAUUUCUUCAUAUCCC
This 993-nucleotide long non-coding RNA is filed under the name Heterocephalus glaber (naked mole-rat). RNAcentral's name for it is "lncRNA (ENSHGLG00000047210.1)". The record is from RNAcentral. Lineage: Eukaryota; Metazoa; Chordata; Mammalia; Rodentia; Bathyergidae.